GGGGUGUACUUAACUCCUGAAGCAAGGACUGUACCCAGAUGAUCUCUGAUGUGGCAUUGGCCACAGCCUUAUACUCAGCCUCAGUACUGCUACGCGAGACAGUAGCCUGUUUCCGAGCACUCCAGGCAAUCAGGUUAGAGCCAAAGAAGACAGCAUAACCCCCCGUGGAUCUCCUGUCAUCCGGAUUGCCAGCCCAGUCUGCAUCAGAAUAUGCUGAAAGACAACCAGAGUCAGACGGCCGAAUAUGCAAACCAUGAGCCACCGUGAAACGAAUAUAGCGCAAAAUCCGCUUAACAGCAGACCAAUGAGUGUCACGGGGUGACUGCAGAUACUGGCAGACUCGAUUAACAGCAUAGGAAAUGUCUGGUCGCGUGAUCGUCAAGUACUGGAGCCCACCAACAAUACUCUUGUACUCUGUCGCAUCAGAAGAAGAAAGAAGCACACCAUCAACAACAUUGAGCUUAUCAGCGGUAGACAUGGG
This 481-nucleotide ribosomal RNA is filed under the name Triticum aestivum (bread wheat). RNAcentral describes it as "partial small subunit ribosomal RNA". Lineage: Eukaryota; Viridiplantae; Streptophyta; Magnoliopsida; Poales; Poaceae. The record is from RNAcentral.